GUGAUGGACUGAGGUCAUGGUAUAGAGACUUGGUGGGAGCUGGAUGUUUAAGUAACUAAAGGUUUCUCUAUGUAGUCCUUGCUGUCCUGGAACUUGUUCUGUGGACCAGGCCGGUCUUGAACUCAGAGAUCCACCCAUCUCUGCUUCCUGAGUGCUGGGAUUAAAGAGCCUCCCUACUUUAUGAAAACUAAAGUUCAAAGGUUAAAACAUCAGAUGAUUUCAUCAACUGAAAGAAAAGAACAUCACCUCAGAGACUCCUUUCUGAUUUAAAGCUCACGACUGUCCAGGCACUUCUAACUCACUCCUGGGAGGCAGGAAAUGUCUCACAUCAUCUAAGAACAAAUUCAUGUGGAUGUGGAAAAUUCUGGAUGUACUCAUCUUCAAAGCCACUGAUAAUGGAGU
Long non-coding RNA from Peromyscus eremicus (cactus mouse), 402 nucleotides. RefSeq lists it as uncharacterized. The transcript is spliced from 3 exons. NCBI's taxonomy places the organism in Eukaryota, Metazoa, Chordata, Mammalia, Rodentia, Cricetidae. The record is from RefSeq and is a predicted model, not a curated record.